This is an RNA transcript of Phragmites australis (common reed), 1604 nucleotides long. It is a transcript of the gene named elongator complex protein 5, with no coding region annotated. The transcript is spliced from 10 exons. Lineage: Eukaryota; Viridiplantae; Streptophyta; Magnoliopsida; Poales; Poaceae. The record is from RefSeq and is a predicted model, not a curated record.
UUGACUAUAUCCGAGUCUCUCUGACGACUGGGCCCCGCCGCUAAUUCCUAGCCUACGUGAGCUUUGCGAAACGAAUCGUCUCGGCAUCUCGCGCGAACUAGGGUUUAAGCGCUACGGGACGCGGCGGCGGCGGCCGGUGGACAGCUGAGAUGGCGGAGGCUGCCGUGAGGUGCCUCCGGGACGGGCGCCUCGACGGCGAGCACGCGCCAGCGCUGGCCGUGGAGGGCUCCCUCCAGUGCUGCCCGCUCGCCGCGGGCGCGAUGCUCCACGUCGCGGCCGCCCUCGCCUCCCAGAUCGCCGCAGGGAAGGCUCAGGCCAGGGGGCUGGUUAUUUUGGCCUUUGAUCGGAGCCCGGAGGUGUACCUGGACUUCAUGCGGCGGCGCGGCCUUGAUUCAAAUGCUUUGGAUCGAUGUGUUCGGAUAUUGGAUUGCUAUUCAGACCCACUUGGAUGGAAGCAGAAGAUUCAUAAUCAGCAGCGUCAAGAGAACAGUAGAACACAGACCACAACAAACAAAGAGAACAUUACUGUUUUUAGAAAUGUAAAGGAUGUUGAAAAAUUAAUGUACUCCACUACUGAACUUGGAGGAGGGUUUGAAGGAGAGGGCAAAACAUAUUUUUCUAUAGCUGUUGACUCGAUUAGCUCUAUGUUAAGGCAUGCUUCAGUGCCAUCAAUUUCAGGUCUUCUUAGUAAUUUUCGAAGCCAUGAUCAAGUAUCAUCGAUCUUUUGGCUAAUGCAUUCAGACCUCCAUGAACCCAAGGUGCCCCGAGCAUUUCAAUGCCUUUCUACUAUGAUUGCUAGUGUGGAGCCAGCACUUGUAGAUCCUGUGUAUGGAGAAAGUCCUGGAAACAUGUCUUUCCUUGAGCAAAAUUAUUCAAAAGCAAAGAUUAUUGUGCGCCUUAAACGACGAAAUGGACGGGUGAAGCACCUUUAUGAGGACUUACAUGUUGAGGGAAAUGAUGUCAAAUUUGUCUCUGCUCCUUCUGUAAGCACAGAAGUGAACCAAAGUCUAGUGCCUAAGGUUCAGUUCAAUCUUGAGCUGUCAGAAAAGGAGCGCAGUGACAGGGCUAAUGUUGUUCUUCCUUUUGAACAUCAAGGAAAGGGCGCAACUAUUCGUAUAUAUGAUGGCCGCCGAUCCCUAGCUGAGGCUCAAGGAGACCCGAACUUAACAGCACCGGCCCUUGUGAAUGAAAUAAAAGCUCCCGAACCUGGAACUGCGAAGGGUGAGAUACAUUACAUUCGUGAUUCAGAUGACGAGCACCCUGAUUCAGAUGAAGACCCAGAUGAUGAUUUGGACAUAUGAGUUCUAGCCAAUGUACGCGCUCUUUACCAUGGUGGCAUGCACAGAUCAAUCCAAGGUAACCGAAACCUUAGCAAAAAAUCUGACUUGCCCAAGUUUGAUAGGGGCAGGCAUUAGAGGCCUAAAUGACAUGGAUUGGAAUUAGAGGCAGUGGUUGUCUAUGCCCUUCGUGACUUUGUGUGCCUAGACUCGAAAUAUUGAAGUUUUUUUUACCAGUGCAAAGUGAUGUCUGGUACGGCUGAAAUACACAAGACGAUUAAAUUGGAUGCAUAAUUAUUAAUUGAUGACUUAUUAUAUUCUACAGAA